Salvia hispanica is the source of this 364-nucleotide non-coding RNA. Lineage: Eukaryota; Viridiplantae; Streptophyta; Magnoliopsida; Lamiales; Lamiaceae. The record is from RefSeq and is a predicted model, not a curated record.
CAUUAACCUUUCUCUAUAUCCCGAGCAUAUUGUUCAUUGUGAUUAUUCGCUUCAAAUCAGAUUGAACUGGCAAUGCUUCCAAAAAAUGGUGCAAGAGCUGUUGGGGCAGCGGUCUUGCUUACUGUGCGCAGUGUAGAUACAUAAUGGGAUUUCAGUUCAUGAACAUUGAACAAAGAUGAUGCCCAUCCGCCCAAAGAUAAAUUAAUAGCCCAAGGAAUGACCACCAGAGUUCCCAUACAUUCUCUAACCUCAUACAGAUUCGGAUAACAAAAAUGGGAUCAGCUGAUACAUGUUUUACAUUUCUUAUUUUGUUUUGUGUAUAGAUUAGAUAUGCAUAAUCAAGUCCACAAAUGUAGUUUGUGUA